GGGUUCACUUGUAGCAUCAGAGGGUUACUUGCGGGACUGGGCACAGUAUUAUUCAAGCUUCCAAUAGUCACUCUGGCAUCUGAGAAGCUAGUUGCAAGUGUAAAGCCUGCUGUAUCAUCAUUGCGAUUAAAUUCUCCAAUGUGAGUAUUGGAUUUUGCCUGCAGCUGGUUAGGCUCCACUGAUGAUUGAACACCUUGAAACAAAUUUGCACCUUGGCUUGCAGGCAAAAGAGCCGGCUGAAACUUUCCAAGAGUAUUAACAGAAUUACUCAGAGAUUGGGAAUGGCCAGACUGGAGAAGACCAGAAGAAGAUAUACCUCGCAAGGUUAAACCACCAGGAGAGUUCAAUCUGCCAAGC
RNAcentral lists this unclassified non-coding RNA (357 nucleotides) under Hevea brasiliensis (rubber tree). The record is from RNAcentral. Lineage: Eukaryota; Viridiplantae; Streptophyta; Magnoliopsida; Malpighiales; Euphorbiaceae.